Molecule: ribosomal RNA, 292 nt
Filed under: uncultured bacterium
Lineage: Bacteria
Description: partial 16S ribosomal RNA
Source: RNAcentral
GGACUACUGGGGUUUCUAAUCCCAUUCGCUCCCCUGGCUUUCGUUCCUCAGCGUCAGUUACAGCCCAGCAAGCCGCUUACGCCACUGGUGUUCUUCCCAAUAUCUACGCAUUUCACCGCUACACUGGGAAUUCCGCUUGCCUCUACUGCACUCCAGUCCGCCAGUAUCCAAUGCACUCCCGGGGUUGGGCCCCGAUCUUUAACAUCAGACUUAACGAACCACCUACGAACUCUUUACGCCCAAUAAAUCCGGACAACGCUUGCAUCCUACGUCUUACCGCGGCUGCUGGCAC